Molecule: transfer RNA, 76 nt
Filed under: Bacteroidota bacterium
Lineage: Bacteria; Pseudomonadati; Bacteroidota
Also listed under: 2 other names
Description: Bacteroidetes bacterium tRNA-Thr
Rfam family: tRNA
About the family: Transfer RNA (tRNA) molecules are approximately 80 nucleotides in length. Their secondary structure includes four short double-helical elements and three loops (D, anti-codon, and T loops). Further hydrogen bonds mediate the characteristic L-shaped molecular structure. tRNAs have two regions of fundamental functional importance: the anti-codon, which is responsible for specific mRNA codon recognition, and the 3' end, to which the tRNAs corresponding amino acid is attached (by aminoacyl-tRNA synthetases). tRNAs cope with the degeneracy of the genetic code in two manners: having more than one tRNA (with a specific anti-codon) for a particular amino acid; and 'wobble' base-pairing, i.e. permitting non-standard base-pairing at the 3rd anti-codon position.
Source: RNAcentral
GCCAAUGUAGCUCAGCUGGUAGAGCAGCUCACUCGUAAUGAGCAGGUCAGCGGUUCGAGUCCGCUCAUUGGCUCCA